RNAcentral lists this long non-coding RNA (510 nucleotides) under Oryza brachyantha (malo sina). Its description in RNAcentral is "long non-coding RNA (OBRA_LNC002464)". Lineage: Eukaryota; Viridiplantae; Streptophyta; Magnoliopsida; Poales; Poaceae. The record is from RNAcentral.
AAGGUAUGUAUGCUUAUGCUACAAUCUCUGCAGCUCCCUCCCCUGUAUUGUUUCUGAGGUCCCAUGUUUUGGUUCUCUCCCGUCUUUACUUUUUCUCUUAGUUCAAUGGUCUAGAGAAAGAAAGUUGCUUUGUGAUAAGCUGAGUUCCUUUUUCUUUUUUCCUUGUAACUUGUAAGCAUUCUUCUCCAGGUUUCUUAGUUCCUUACUGUACUUUCUUCCUGUUCUUCUUGGGCCUCCUUUGCUUGUGGAGUCCUAUGCUUGAUAAGUGCUACUGCAAGAAAGGGACAAGUGCUCAUUACACAUAUUCAAGGCUCUGUUUCCUUGUCUUCCUAUCCAUAAGCAUGUGAAUGCGUAAAGUUUGAGAUCAAAUAAACGACGGAGAUGCCCAGGAUGUGGAAAAAACCUGAUUUUUGUGCAGGAUGGUGAUGUAGUAACUGGGGAACCCUUUAUUUUUGUCAUCUGACUCGUGAUCUUGCAUGCUAUUCAGUUCCUGAAAAAUAUGAGCUUGCA